This 469-nucleotide ribosomal RNA is filed under the name uncultured bacterium. RNAcentral's name for it is "bacterial SSU rRNA". It matches the Rfam family "Bacterial small subunit ribosomal RNA", at positions 28 to 507 of the family's 1533-position model. The record is from RNAcentral.
GACGAACGCUGGCGGCGUGCUUAACACAUGCAAGUCGAACGAGGUCCACCGCGUAGCAAUACAAGGGAAGACCUAGUGGCGAACGGGUGCGUAACACGUGAGGAACUUGUCCCGGUCUCUGGGAUAACAGUUGGAAACGACUGCUAAUACCGGAUGACGUCGGAGCAUCGCAUGGUGCGCUGACGAAAGGGUUACUGGAUCGGGAGAGCCUCGCGGCCUAUCAGCUUGUUGGUGGGGUAACGGCCUACCAAGGCAUCGACGGGUAGCUGGUCUGAGAGGAUGAUCAGCCACACUGGGACUGAGACACGGCCCAGACUCCUACGGGAGGCAGCAGUGGGGAAUCUUGCGCAAUGGGCGAAAGCCUGACGCAGCAACGCCGCGUGCGGGAAGAAGGCCCUCGGGUUGUAAACCGCUUUCAGCAGGAACGAAAAUGACGGUACUUGCAGAAGAAGGUGCGGCCAACUACGUG